AAAAAGGGGCAAACCCUGGGUUUUCGUGUCCAACUUUAACGGUCCGUCUUAUAUGAAAUUUUUUUAUAAUUCAUAUUUUCAUUAUUGUUAGAUGAUAAAACAUAAUUAAUAUUUUAUGCGUGACUUGUCUUUUUUAUUUUUUUCAUAAUUUUUUCAAAUAAGAUGGACGGUCAAACGUUGGACACGGAAACCAGGGUUUGUCUUUUU
RNAcentral lists this microRNA precursor (207 nucleotides) under Oryza nivara. RNAcentral's name for it is "MIR812 microRNA precursor family". It matches the Rfam family "MIR812 microRNA precursor family". The record is from Rfam by way of RNAcentral. Lineage: Eukaryota; Viridiplantae; Streptophyta; Magnoliopsida; Poales; Poaceae.